AUCCCCAUCACCAAGCCAUAGUCCUCUACACGGUGUCCACAAGCGACACCCGAUCCCAAAUCCUAGGUUCCCGAAAUUUCACCAAGGAAUUAUUGUUGACCAAACAGGGUCAAAGCACACCUUGUAGCAAAAAUCAUGCCACAUGCUGGAUCAGAAGACCCCUUGCUAGAACUGUCACCUUCAACGUCCCCUAAAACAUUCCAGACAUUACUGACUAUGCUCAAUGAGUCCAAACCUAGCAAUUGAAUACAGUGUAUCCGUUAAAAUUGGUGGUAAAGCAGAAUUACCAACGCUUUCCCUAGCAGUGUUCUUAACCAACUUAGAGCUCGCCACAAGAGAUACUGUACUAAACUGAACUUCCACCACGGUACCGGACUUGUCCAAAUGUCUCUUGAUUGGUUCUACGUUCCCCUGUGAGAUGUACAACUGAGACUUCUUCCGUCCCUACAGUACAACCAGGACACCCAUUCGGACCUUCAAGACUCCACCUCCAUCAGAGAAUUUAUACCCUUUUGCAUCCAAGAUACUCAACGAUAUGAGAUUCUUUGUCAAGUCUAGAACAUGGCGAAUCUGAUCAAGUGUCCUCACUGUCCCAUCUUGUAGCCUCAAUCUGACCCGAUCGACUCCUACAACCCUACAAGAUUGGUUAUUUCCCAUGACAACUCCAUUUUGCUUCACCGUCUCAUAUAUCUGAAAUAAAGUCCUAUUAGGAUACAUAUGAUACAAACAUGCAGAAUCCAGAAUCCACUCCCCAGGUUUGGAUUUCCCGUCAGAUACAGCCAACAUUACAUCUCCAUCUUUCGAAAAAUUCUCAACAAUGUUAGUCUCGUUACCUGAUUACCCCGCAUGAUUUUCCAUGUAAAUCACCUUGAUCCUGCAACUUGUUGCAAUCUUUCUUAUUGUGUCCUUUCCUCUUACAGUAAUAACAAUAUAUAUUGCUGUACCUCACCUUCGAUCUAGUAACCAGAGCAUCUCCACCCCUAAAUGUAGGAUUUCCAACCAACAGCUCCAUCUUUUCUGUUGAGAACAGGGUGUCAUAUACCUCCUCAAUGGUCAGCGUGUCACGACCAUACAAUAUAGUAUCACGAAACGACGAAAAAGAAUUGGGUAGCGAACACAACAGGAUCAAGACCAAAUCCUUUUCAUCAUAUUUUACCUCCAAUGUCUCUAAAUCUGCAACAAUCUCCUCAAACAUAGUAAGAUGGUCCUGCAAUGACCCUCAUUCUGUCAUGCGAUGGGAAUAUGGCUUCUGCUUUAGAGUCAGUUUUCUUGUCAGACUCUUUAUUAUGCACAACUACUCCAACUUGAGCCACAAAGUAGACGCCGUCUUCUCUUUCAAAACAUCUUGUAGAAUAUUAUUGAAUAAGUGAAGAUGAAUCUAUGCUAAAGCCUUUCGAUCUCUCCGUUGUUUCUCCUAUAUAGACAAAUUUGAUGGCCUCCUCUCAAAAGUCAGCAAAGUAUCGUCAAGAUCCAUCUGAGUUAACACAGCCCUCACCUUUAUUGCCAUAGCAAAAAUCUUGUAUUGUGAUCCAGCAGUGGAAUUUCAUAUUUCAACGAAUUCAUCCUUGAAAAAUCUCAACAAAAUCACGAAGAACCUGCAACCCCUGCUCUGAUACCACUUGUUGAUCCCAAAGGCGAUGUAAAAUUGAGAUUUAAUGGCAAUAAUGAAAU
Molecule: long non-coding RNA, 1671 nt
Filed under: Olea europaea subsp. europaea
Lineage: Eukaryota; Viridiplantae; Streptophyta; Magnoliopsida; Lamiales; Oleaceae
Source: RNAcentral